RNAcentral lists this ribosomal RNA (1419 nucleotides) under Triticum aestivum (bread wheat). RNAcentral describes it as "partial small subunit ribosomal RNA". The record is from RNAcentral. Lineage: Eukaryota; Viridiplantae; Streptophyta; Magnoliopsida; Poales; Poaceae.
AUGAUGAUCACCGAGAUUGGUAAUUUGGUGUUGUUUGAUCAGAAAAAUGCAACAGUGUGGCAGUCAUUUGCUCACCCUACUGAUGCAUUGGUCCCUGGGCAGUCACUUCUGGAAGGUAUGAGGCUCGUAGCAAGUACGUCUGCAACAAAUUCGACAGAGACUCAGUUGUACAUGACAGUUCAACCUGAUGGAUUGUAUGCUUAUGUCGGAUCCACACCACCACAAGUCUAUUUUUCGAAAUCGGUGAACAAAAACAAGACAGGAAAGGAUCCAACAAAGGUUACCUUCACGAAUGGCAGCCUCAGCAUCUCUGUGCAGUCCAAGCAACCAGAUGAAUCAGACACGAGUAUCCAAUUACCAGCAGCUAACUCUACCCAGUACAUGAGAUUGGAGUCAGAUGGGCACCUGAGGCUCUACGAAUGGUCUAAUGCAGAUGCAAAAUGGGCUGUAGUGUCUGAUGUAAUCAAACUAUUCCCUGAUGACUGUGCCUUUCCAACAGUAUGUGGAGAGUAUGGUAUAUGCACAGGGGGGCAAUGUGUUUGUCCGCUUCAGAAUAAUUCUAGUUCAAGCUACUUCAAGCCGGCCGAUGAGCGGAAGCCAAAUCUUGGCUGUGCAUCACUGACUCCAAUCUCUUGUCAGGAAAUGCAACACCAUCAGUUGUUGACUCUUACAGACGUUUCUUAUUUUGACGCCAGCCACAUCGUUGUGAAUGCAACAAACGGAGAAGACUGUAAGCAAGCUUGCUUGAAGAACUGCUCCUGCAGGGCCGUGAUGUUCAGGUAUGGCCAGAAUGAUUCCGAUGGAACGUGUCUGUGGGUGACAAGGGUCUUCUCCUUGCAAUCAAUACAACCUGAAAUUGUUCACUACAACUCCUCUGCUUACCUCAAGGUGCAGCUUAGCCCCUCAACUUCUGCCUCUAAUGCAAACAAAAAGAAGGUGAUGUUAGGUGCUACACUUGGAGCUAUUACUAUUCUUGUACUGCUAGUCAUUGCUGCCAUUCUUUAUGUGCGAAGGAAGAAGAAGUGCCAAGAGUUAGAUGAAGAAUUAGAUUUUGACCAAAUUCCUGGAAUGACAGUGAGGUACACGUUCGAAAACUUGAGAGAAUGCACUGGAGACUUCAGUAAAAAGCUCGGAGGUGGUGGGUUUGGAACAGUUUUUGAAGGGAAAAUAGGUGAAGAGAGAGUUGCAGUAAAACGUUUGGAAGGUGCUAGACAAGGAAAGAAAGAAUUCUUGGCUGAAGUCGAGACUAUUGGCAGCAUUGAACACAUCAAUCUUGUUAGGCUGAUCGGCUUUUGUGCAGAGAAAUCUGAAAGACUUUUAGUAUACGAUAUGUACCGAGAGGGUCACUUGAUAGGUGGAUCUACUACCGCCAUAACAAUGCUCCUCUUGAUUGGUGCACCCGGCACAGGAUCAUUCUAG